This 245-nucleotide small RNA is filed under the name Pteropus vampyrus (large flying fox). Its description in RNAcentral is "7SK RNA (ENSPVAG00000029932.1)". The stretch from base 1 to 189 matches the Rfam family "7SK RNA". From Rfam's summary of the family: 7SK was discovered as an abundant small nuclear RNA in the mid-70s but a possible function has only recently been suggested. Two independent studies have found that 7SK RNA binds the CDK9/cyclin T complex (known as elongation factor P-TEFb). The record is from RNAcentral. Lineage: Eukaryota; Metazoa; Chordata; Mammalia; Chiroptera; Pteropodidae.
GGAUAUGGGGGUGAUCUGCCUGAGACAACCGUCACUCACUGACCUCUUGGCAAUGAGUCACUGAUCUGGCCGGCUGGAGGGGUAGCUGCCUUGGUCUUCACAGCUCCAUGUGCAUCCACCUUGAGCUAUUCAUUCAAUUAAGGGGGAUCUGAAUUCUUCAGCCGAGAAAAUGGGACUCUUACUUCUUUGAGAUCUAGCUCAAAAGUCACUUUUCCAAUGAAACCUUCCCUGAAGUCUCUUCUAUU